AGAGUUUGAUCCUGGCUCAAAACGAACGCUGGCGGCGUGGAUAAGACAUGCAAGUCGAACGGGAUAACAUUUGUAGCAAUACAGGUGUUAUUUAGUGGCGAACGGGUGCGUAACACGUGGGCAAUCUGCCAAGAAGUGGGGGAUAGCUCGCCGAAAGGCGAAUUAAUACCGCAUAUGGUUAGUGAAGACAUCUUCACAAUACCAAAGCCGGGGCAACCUGGCGCUUUUUGAUGAGCCCGCGGCCUAUCAGCUAGUUGGUGAGGUAACGGCUCACCAAGGCAUUGACGGGUAGCUGGUCUGAGAGGACGACCAGUCACACUGGAACUGAGACACGGUCCAGACACCUACGGGUGGCAGCAGUCGAUAAUUUUUCACAAUGGGGGCAACCCUGAUGGAGCGACGCCGCGUGGAGGAUGAAGGCUUUCGGGUUGUAAACUCCUGUCAUUUGAGAACAAGGUGCAUCGAUUAACUGUCGAUGCAUUGAUAGUAUCAGAAGAGGAAGAGACGGCUAACUCUGUGCCAGCAGCCGCGGUAAUACAGAGGUCUCAAGCGUUGUUCGGAUUCAUUGGGCGUAAAGGGUGCGUAGGUGGCGGGGUAAGUCAGGUGUGAAAUUUCGGAGCUCAACUCCGAAACUGCAUUUGAUACUGCCUUGCUUGAGGACUGGAGAGGAGACUGUAUUUCACGGUGUAGCAGUGAAAUGCAUAGA
RNAcentral lists this ribosomal RNA (706 nucleotides) under uncultured bacterium. Its description in RNAcentral is "bacterial SSU rRNA". It matches the Rfam family "Bacterial small subunit ribosomal RNA", at positions 8 to 694 of the family's 1533-position model. The record is from RNAcentral.